AGUCUAGCAGCAGAGUCCAGAAGCCCCGUGUAUUUGAUUGUUUUGGGUGAAAUAUUGAUGUAACUGCUGUUAUGUGUUGGUGAGUGUUAUUGGUUCUCUUCUCAUGAUCAGAAAGGUUGUUUAUGGUCAUAGAUACUUGGUACUAACGCUCGGGCGGCAAAAUCUGUACAAGAUACCAUUUUCGAGACAAUGCCAUGAAAGCCAACAACUUUUUUCCUUUCCCAUGAUAUUGUAUUGUAGGUGUUCGCUAAAAUAUCUCAGCAGAUUUCUGAUCUAUUAUGUUCCUUCAAGGCAGAAGUACUAGGCCUUGAUCCUAGAGAAGUUGAUGUUCCACUUAUUGGGGGUCAAACAGGAGUGACGAUAUUACCUCUUUUAUCUCAGGUUAAACCACCUUGUACUUUCACUCCUCAAGAUUACCUGACAUCACGCAUCCAAAAUGGCAGCACAGAAGUUAUCGAGAGGACAAGGAAUUCGAUUUACGAAUGCCACCUUGGCAACCUAUCCACUACCGCUACACAAGA
Molecule: long non-coding RNA, 521 nt
Organism: Syzygium oleosum
Lineage: Eukaryota; Viridiplantae; Streptophyta; Magnoliopsida; Myrtales; Myrtaceae
Exons: 3
Source: RefSeq, a predicted model, not a curated record